UACAUGGGGUGCAAACGUUGCUCGGAAUUAUUGGGCGUAAAGCGCACGUAGGCGGUUUGUUAAGUCGGAUAUGAAAUCCCUCGGCUCAACUGAGGAAGUGCAUCCGAAACUGGCAAGCUUGAGUACGAAAGAGGGUCGCGGAAUUCCCGGUGUAGAGGUGAAAUUCGUAGAUAUCGGGAGGAACACCGGUGGCGAAGGCGGCGACCUGGGUCGAUACUGACGCUGAGGUGCGAAAGCGUGGGGAGCAAACAGG
RNAcentral lists this ribosomal RNA (253 nucleotides) under uncultured bacterium. RNAcentral's name for it is "partial 16S ribosomal RNA". It matches the Rfam family "Bacterial small subunit ribosomal RNA", at positions 524 to 776 of the family's 1533-position model. The record is from RNAcentral.